RNAcentral lists this ribosomal RNA (195 nucleotides) under Plasmodium vinckei vinckei. RNAcentral describes it as "large subunit ribosomal RNA (LSUE)". It matches the Rfam family "Bacterial large subunit ribosomal RNA", at positions 1921 to 2116 of the family's 2925-position model. The record is from RNAcentral. Lineage: Eukaryota; Apicomplexa; Aconoidasida; Haemosporida; Plasmodiidae.
UGAUAAACGGCGGCUGUAUCUUAAACGGUCCUAAGGUAGCAAAAUUCCUUGUCGGGUAAUCUCCGUCCUGCAUGAACGGUGUAACGACUUCCCCAUUGUCGCUAGUGUGAGACUCCUAAUAAAUAGAAUUAUCCAUGAAUAUGUGGAAUCAUACGGCCCGACGGUAAGACCCUGAGCACCUUAACUUCCCUAAAA